CACUCCGGUGGCCUAGUGGUUAGAGAGUCCGCCUUGGAUGCGGGAGGUCGUGGAUUCGAUCUCAGGCUGAGUCA
Molecule: non-coding RNA, 74 nt
Organism: Potamilus streckersoni
Lineage: Eukaryota; Metazoa; Mollusca; Bivalvia; Unionida; Unionidae
Source: the annotation of a GenBank genome assembly